GUCACGGGGAAAAUACUUGUGUUACGGUCUGGAUAGCAUGAAUAGUUUGGUUGCAUGUUGAUCGAGUCAUUUUUCAUUCUGUGACGCAUGGAUACUAUGAAAAUUAAAACGGAUUUUACCAAGCAAAAAUAUGCUUCCCGUCCUCUCUGGGAACAGAGGGAUAAGAAAUCUGCGGAGGUUCAGUAAUGAGGAAGAUCAGAGGAGCGCACAAGAGAGCGAACAGGAUGAGUAAUAGGAGGUACAGGUCUCCCCUAAACACGAGGAGGGAAGGCUUACAAUAUUAUUUCAAUGGGGGAACUAAGGCUAUGUUUUUGCCCAUGUUUAACAUGUCAGGUGGAGGACCAAGGGGUGUAAACAUUCUAGAAGAUGCUGGACCUCCCUGCUGCUCAAGGAGAAAGGACCGGUUUACUAGCCUUUAAAUCAAGCUGAUGAAUUUUAACUGCCGUUCAUAUUAAUACUUAACAUUUAUAACUACAUUUUUUUAUAUUAACAAAGACAAAUACAUGUUAAGUAAGACCUAUAAUUCAUUGUUAAUAUUUACUGCAUAAUUAACAAAUGUCAUUUAAUGUACCCUUAUUUUAAGGUGUUACCAAUUCAUCUGUUGUUGAGAGAGCACCCUAGAUGAAUAUGAACAAAAAAGUAUUGUAUUCAUAUCCCAAGUGUACAACCAGCGUGAACAAAAUCUAACUGAUGUACAGUACUUUGCAAAAGCCUUAGGCACCUGAAAGUCAAAAUAAGGACAUACAGUGGAUAUAGUCUACACAUCCCUGUUAAAAUGUCAGGUUCUUGUGAUGUAAAAUUAUGAGUCAAAGAUAGAUCAUGUCAGAACUUUUUCUACCUUUAAUGUGACCUAUAACGUGAACAAUUCAAUUGAAUUUGAGGGGGAAAAAUAAGAUAUAAAAACUAACAAUAACCGGGUUGCGUAAGUGUGCACACCUUUAAACUAAUAAUUUGUUGAAGCACGUUUUGAUUUUAUUACAGCAGUCUUUUUGGGUAGGAGUCUAUUUAGCAUGGCACAUCUUGACCUGGCAAUAUUUGGCCACUCUUCUUUGCAAAAGCGCUCCAAAUCUGUCGGAUUGCGAGGACAUCUCCUGUGCACAGCCCUCUUCAGAUCACCCCAGAUUGGAUUCAAUUGGAUUCACGUCUGGGCUCUGGCUGGGCCAUUCCAAAACGUUAAUCUUCUUCUGGUGAAGCCAUGCUUUUGUGGAUUAGGAUUCAAGCUGAAGAAAAACAACCCCAAAGCAUGAUUCUGCCACCACCAUGCUUCACUGUGGGUAUGGUGUUCUUUGGGUGAUGUGCUGUGUUGUUUUUGCACCAAACAUACCUUUUGGAAUUAUGGUCAAAAACUUCAACAUUGGUUUCAUCAGACCAUAAAACAUUUUCCCAAAUGCUUUUUGGAGACUUGAUGUUUGUUUUAGCUGGGCUUGGAUGUUUUUCUUUGUAAGAAGUGGCUUCAGUCUUGCCACCCUACCUCAUACCCCAUAUGAAGAAUACAGGAGACUGUUAUCACAUGUAGCACACAGCCAGUACUAAUUCCUGCAGUUCAUUUAAUGUUGCUAUAGGCCUCUUGGAAGCCUCCCUCACCAGUUUUCUUCUCGUCUUUUCAUCAAUUUUGGAGGGACGUCCAGUUCUUGGUAAUGUCUCUGUUGUGCCAUAUUUUGUAUAUAGUGCUGUACGCUGCCUGCUGUUACCUACCUUGCUACCUGCCAAACUACAUAAACUAAUUGGUCAAAUUCUACUUUAAGAGUUUACCAACGCAAUAUUUUUUAUCGGUGGACCUCUUACCCAAGCAAGCCUCCAGAAAAUUGGAGCGAAAGUGGCACUCCACCAAGUUGGAAGUAUUCAGACAAGCCUAGAUAGACAGGACGCUACAAUACCGAAAAUCACUCACAUCUGCUCGAUCAGCUUAUUUCUCCAACCUGAGUGAGGUGAACAAAAACAAUCCAAAAUGUAUCUUUGAUACAGUUGCUAAGUUAACAAAAAAGCAACGCUCAACAAGUGAAGUGGGUCUUCACUUUGGCUGUAAUGAAUACAUGAAUUACUUUGAUGAAAAGAUCAUCACCAUUAGAAAACAAAUAACUGACUCCUCCUUAAAUAGUUAUAGUCCCCAAAAUCUCCUGUUCCUCCAAAAAAUCGUAGAAAAAUGUAUUUCCCAACAACUGAAUGCCUUCCUGAAAACAAAUUGUCAUGGUGCGGUGAGCAGCAGCGCCACCGUGCCAUAUUUCCACAAGUUCCCAUAUUCUCACGAACACAUCCCGGACUGUCACAUGUUUCCCAUCUUCCACACCAGGUCCCAAUCUAGCUCGUUUGUAUGUGUAUAUAUGUUUCCCCUCUGCUCCCCACAUUGUGGAUCAUUGUUGCUGUUUGUAGGUUAAUCGGUGAGUGUUGUUUAAUGUACUGUUUGAAUGUUUAUUGUUAAGACGCAUGUUGCGCACUUUGAUUUCAUUCAGUCAUUAGUAUUGUUUUCCGUUCG
Esox lucius (northern pike) is the source of this 2473-nucleotide long non-coding RNA. NCBI's taxonomy places the organism in Eukaryota, Metazoa, Chordata, Actinopteri, Esociformes, Esocidae. The record is from Ensembl.